This 1218-nucleotide long non-coding RNA is filed under the name Schistocerca americana (American grasshopper). Its description in RNAcentral is "uncharacterized LOC124553976". Lineage: Eukaryota; Metazoa; Arthropoda; Insecta; Orthoptera; Acrididae. The record is from RNAcentral.
UUAUUGGUCAAAGCCGACAGCGGACAGAUUAUAUUCCCUGCUUCUUUAGACCAGAAGUGCUACGCUUGUGACUGGCUUGACGAUAAUUUGCGUCUUGUAAGCGUGUGUGGUCGGAUGUGCUCGAUAAAAUUCAAAACAAAAUUGUGAUACUUAAAUGUCUACUGGCAAUUUAUAGUUACGGCAGUUACAUGAAUUGUUCCUGUGAACACGACCCUAUUCCAGGAAGUGAACAUUGGUGAACGUUAAUUAUUAGCCCAUUUGUCGCUUCCUCGUGUUGCCGGGAAGGAAGACCCACUGGUUGAUUUCGCUCCUGUUUAUAAGUUCCCUGCAGCACAAACCAAAUCGGAGAAGUUGACGCCUGUGAACAUUAAUCGUCAGCCUAUUUGUUGCCGCAAUGGAAGAAUCGCUGGACGCUUCGUUGCCGGUCGACACGGCUAUGGCGAGCUGGAGAGGUCUUCAGCAGCAGCAGCAGCAGCAGCAGUCACCGGCGGCCGCGGACUCGACCACACCCACCCGCAGCGUCACUCCCACCGCGGCCGCUUCACCACGCGCCGCAGCGGUCUGCAGAACUGCCUGCCUCUCGCUGUCCCUCACAUCUCUGUUCACUCUGGGGACCGGCAGGAGCUUUGCGGCGCCCUGCCUGCUGUAUCCCGCCGCUAUGUGGAGGCCGCCCUGCUGCCACUUGUUCUGCGUGUUGACGUCGGCCCCCGACUGCGGCAGAAUUCCGCUGUACAGUGCGGUGGAGUGUAGCCGCGUUCGCGCCGGUUGUUCGCGUCUGUUCCCCUGGCAGAGACCUCGAGGACUUUGGCCGCGUCUCCGUUCCCUGUGCAUUUUGAAUCUGCUUCUCGAUGUCUUGCUCCUUUGCCGUAUUAUUUUCCACGGAAAUGUGUUGCCGCAGUGGAAAAUCUGAAAGUCUUUAUAACCGUGCCAAUUACGCGCUAAAAACCCAGUUGCGUGAGCAGCGUGUAAGACUUGACAACUUGGUCCAGUAUGGGGAAGGAGAUUUUGAGGUUAAACAGAAUUACUUGACAACAUUUGUAGAACUGAAAGUAAUGUCAGAGGGUGGUGUUCCACAUUACAUCUGACUUGGGAAGCACCCUACAAAAUCCCCUGUUCAGGGUUACCUUUGCUAACCCAGAAAACUAAUUUUUGGCAGGCCACGUAUUUGAGGCAUAUCCUGUAAUUUUAAUGUGCGGAAUUUCAAAUUGAACUGUGGCC